GACGAACGCUGGCGGCGUGCUUAACACAUGCAAGUCGAACGGAAAGGCCCUGCUUUUGUGGGGUGCUCGAGUGGCGAACGGGUGAGUAACACGUGAGUAACCUGCCCUUGACUUUGGGAUAACUUCAGGAAACUGGGGCUAAUACCGGAUAGGAGCUCCUGCUUCAUGGUGGGGGUUGGAAAGUUUCGGCGGUUGGGGAUGGACUCGCGGCUUAUCAGCUUGUCGGUGGGGUAGUGGCUUACCAAGGCUUUGACGGGUAGCCGGCCUGAGAGGGUGACCGGCCAAAUUGGGACUGAGAUACGGCCCAGACUCCUACGGGAGGCAGCAGUGGGGAAUAUUGCACAAUGGGCGGAAGCCUGAUGCAGCAACGCCGCGUGCGGGAUGACGGCCUUCGGGUUGUAAACCGCUUUCGCCUGUGACGAAGCGUGAGUGACGGUAAUGGGUAAAGAAGCACCGGCUAACUACGUG
This 468-nucleotide ribosomal RNA is filed under the name uncultured bacterium. Its description in RNAcentral is "partial 16S ribosomal RNA". It matches the Rfam family "Bacterial small subunit ribosomal RNA", at positions 28 to 507 of the family's 1533-position model. The record is from RNAcentral.